UCCCCAGUAGCUCAGUUGGUAGAGCAAGCGACUGUUAAUCGCUUUGUCGCUGGUUCGAGUCCGGCCUGGGGAGCCA
This 76-nucleotide transfer RNA is filed under the name Cohaesibacter celericrescens. RNAcentral describes it as "Cohaesibacter sp. H1304 tRNA-Asn". It matches the Rfam family "tRNA". From Rfam's summary of the family: Transfer RNA (tRNA) molecules are approximately 80 nucleotides in length. Their secondary structure includes four short double-helical elements and three loops (D, anti-codon, and T loops). Further hydrogen bonds mediate the characteristic L-shaped molecular structure. tRNAs have two regions of fundamental functional importance: the anti-codon, which is responsible for specific mRNA codon recognition, and the 3' end, to which the tRNAs corresponding amino acid is attached (by aminoacyl-tRNA synthetases). tRNAs cope with the degeneracy of the genetic code in two manners: having more than one tRNA (with a specific anti-codon) for a particular amino acid; and 'wobble' base-pairing, i.e. permitting non-standard base-pairing at the 3rd anti-codon position. RNAcentral also lists the same sequence under 1 other name. The record is from RNAcentral. Lineage: Bacteria; Pseudomonadati; Pseudomonadota; Alphaproteobacteria; Hyphomicrobiales; Cohaesibacteraceae.